GGAGUCUUAGCUCAGUGGUAGAGCGAAGGAUUGCAGAUCCUUAGGUCGCUGGUUCGAUCCCGGCAGGCUCCU
Molecule: transfer RNA, 72 nt
Filed under: Daldinia loculata
Lineage: Eukaryota; Fungi; Ascomycota; Sordariomycetes; Xylariales; Hypoxylaceae
Description: tRNA-Cys
Rfam family: tRNA
About the family: Transfer RNA (tRNA) molecules are approximately 80 nucleotides in length. Their secondary structure includes four short double-helical elements and three loops (D, anti-codon, and T loops).
Source: RNAcentral